UACGUAGGGUGCAAGCGUUAAUCGGAAUUACUGGGCGUAAAGCGUGCGCAGGCGGUUAUAUAAGUCAGAUGUGAAAUCCCCGGGGUUAACCUGGGAACUGCAUUUGUGACUGUUUAGCUAGAGUACGGUAGAGGGGGGUGGAAUUCCGCGUGUAGCAGUGAAAUGCGUAGAUAUGCGGAGGAACACCGAUGGCGAAGGCAAUCCCCUGGACCUGUACUGACGAUCAUGCACGAAAGCGUGGGGAGCAAACAGGAUUAGAUACCCUGGUAGUCCACGCCCUAAACGAUGUCAACUGGUUGUUGGGUCUUAACUGACUCAGUAACGAAGCUAACGCGUGAAGUUGACCGCCUGGGGAGUACGGCCGCAAGGUUG
Molecule: ribosomal RNA, 372 nt
Filed under: uncultured prokaryote
Description: bacterial SSU rRNA
Rfam family: Bacterial small subunit ribosomal RNA
Source: RNAcentral